Molecule: ribosomal RNA, 400 nt
Filed under: uncultured bacterium
Lineage: Bacteria
Description: bacterial SSU rRNA
Rfam family: Bacterial small subunit ribosomal RNA
Source: RNAcentral
GAGGGAUAUUGCACAAUGGGCGCAAGCCUGAUGCAGCGACGCCGCGUGAGGGAAGACGGUCCUCUGGAUUGUAAACCUCUGUCUUAUGGGACGAAAAUGACGGUACCAUAGGAGGAAGCCCCGGCUAACUACGUGCCAGCAGCCGCGGUAAUACGUAGGGGGCGAGCGUUGUCCGGAAUUACUGGGUGUAAAGGGAGCGUAGGCGGGAAGGUAAGUCUGUUGUGAAAUCUAUCGGCUCAACCGAUAGCUGCGGCAGAAACUGCCAUUCUUGAGUGGAGUAGAGGCAGGCGGAAUUCCUAGUGUAGCGGUGAAAUGCGUAGAUAUUAGGAGGAACACCAGUGGCGAAGGCGGCCUGCUGGGCUUUUACUGACGCUGAGGCUCGAAAGUGCGGGGAGCAAAC